AUGCUCACUGCAGCAGCACAUAUACUAAAAAUUGGGAUGAUACAGAGAUUAGCUAGGCCCUGUGCAAGGAUGACACGCAAAUUCGUGAAGCAUUCCAUAUAUUU
Zalophus californianus (California sea lion) is the source of this 104-nucleotide small nuclear RNA. The record is from Ensembl. Lineage: Eukaryota; Metazoa; Chordata; Mammalia; Carnivora; Otariidae.